RNAcentral lists this long non-coding RNA (1029 nucleotides) under Nothobranchius furzeri (turquoise killifish). Its description in RNAcentral is "lncRNA (ENSNFUG00015021378.1)". The record is from RNAcentral. Lineage: Eukaryota; Metazoa; Chordata; Actinopteri; Cyprinodontiformes; Nothobranchiidae.
AUGGUUUUUAUAAUGACGGUCACGUUGCCCCUUCCUUUGCCUCCUCUGAAUGAGGAACAGAGAUUGUCCCAAGCUCUGAGCUCUGCAGAGCUCAGAUCUAAACCUGGAAUCGUGCAGCCCCUUCCAGCUGCAGCCUUGCAGCCUCCUGCUCACUAUCAUGGCAGAAGAACACUUCCUGAAGAUGGAGUACCUAAACAUUCAGUGCAGCAUGGACCUUUGAGGAAUGCUGCUGGCUAUGAGAAAAAUAGUCUGAAAGCCAGAAGUGACCAAAGCAAAGGCUUUGCCUCCAAGAGAAGGACGGCUGGCUCCAUCCGGCCAUCGAGCCAUCAUCAUUAUCCUCAGCUGCCAGACUUUACAGUCAACAGCACAGAGCUGAAGCAUAGCAUUAAACCAAGCAGCCACAGUGAUGUGGUGAAGCAACCCACGGCACACACACACAUUUAUCCUGAAAGGAUAAGAGCACACAACCCAGACAGAGGAGCUGCGCAUGCCCAGAAAGGCAGACACACAAACAGGAAUGCCGACACACAACUGAGCAGCAGCCUCGCGAGGGUAAAGCUACAACAGCAGCAGCUCUUGCAGAAACCCACACAAGCUCCAAAAGCCUCUGGGAAGCUUGAUGGUGUGGAUAAGGAGCAGCUUCCGGGGAAAAGGCUCACCCGCGAGCACAAACAGCUACUUAAUGUCUCAGGAAAUCUUCCUAAAGCAAAGUGGAAUCCUGGACCAUCAGAGCAUGGAGAGGCUUUGUCCCAACCUGUGAAGCCCAAUCACAAGCAUGUGUGCGAGAGCUUCAGAGGGCAGGACUUCCCAGACAGCGAUGACAGGAAGAUCAGAGUCUGCCCACAGCAGCCUCCUUCAUGGUUCAGCAACGACGAUAUUGAAAAGAUGGAGCUGCUGUCUGGGGGUGACGUCAUCAGUAAGGCCCGGGUGCCUGCACAUGGACAGGUGCUCCAGGUGGCCUUGAAUUCUCCUGCGCAGCGCCAGGUAAGCUGCUGGACUGUUCACAGGAAAAUGUGGCAUUGCAGCUGA